Molecule: unclassified non-coding RNA, 139 nt
Filed under: soil metagenome
Description: partial internal transcribed spacer 1
Source: RNAcentral
UCAAAACAGCAGCCUUCGGGCCUCGCUGCACCCUUGUCUUUUGCGCACCGUAUUGUUUCCUCGGCGGGCUUGCCUGCCGGUUGGACAUCAUAAAACCUUUUUGUAGUUGCAAUCAGCGUCAGAAAAACAAUAAUUAUUA